AAAACAAACGACACAACGAAAACACAACGCUAAAAUGCAACACACACAGAAACGAACUACAAUACAACAAUGGCCAUAUUCCUGACUUGGUAGAGGACAAGGAAAAAAUGGUGGGAUGAACCUGGUUUUGUGGCAUGCCAAACCUCCCUCUUUUAUGGCCAUGUGAAAUAUAACAUUAAAAUGACAACAUAACAUUACAGG
Molecule: long non-coding RNA, 201 nt
Filed under: Mytilus galloprovincialis (Mediterranean mussel)
Lineage: Eukaryota; Metazoa; Mollusca; Bivalvia; Mytilida; Mytilidae
Source: RNAcentral